Daphnia magna is the source of this 2715-nucleotide long non-coding RNA. RefSeq lists it as uncharacterized. NCBI's taxonomy places the organism in Eukaryota, Metazoa, Arthropoda, Branchiopoda, Diplostraca, Daphniidae. The transcript has 6 exons. The record is from RefSeq and is a predicted model, not a curated record.
UUCCGGAGACACGCAGUUUUUUAACUUUAAAAGUUUUUACUCAGUUUCAGAGUUAUUUACUCCUAGGGUGUUUUCAAAGUUUAGUUAUUUUCUUUUACAGUCCAGCACUAUUGCUGCAAGACAAACGGAUUGUACCAGUGGAUACAGUACAAUCUAAGUUUUGAUAGAAUUUGUCCCAAGUAACACAGCAGGCACAGCAAUGGUAAAUGCCAUAAAGCAAUUCCUUUAGCCAAAGGAAGGCCUUGACAACUUAACAUCUAUUGAAAGGUUGGGGAUUGAGGAUUUCAAGUUUCAUUUUUUCUUUACAUCCUUUUGAAAAGUUCUAACCACCCUUGAAGAAGUCUUCCCCAGCACGCCAAAUUGAGCAGACAAUAGUGAAGAAGAUAGAGACGGUGGAAGAAGGAUAUGGUUGGUAGUUUCCAACACAUGAUAUGGCUCAAGCAUUUCAUUACUUUGACCCUGAACAUAUGAAUACUCCUCCAUGUUUUCUAAAGUCAAGUGAAAUAAUAUCAUUAAGCCAAAAUUGAAUUUUACAUUACUUCUGAACAGGUUCCAACUCAGUUUAGGAAGCGGGUACUUCACAAUAUGACCCAGCAAUCUUUCCUUGGGAUCUUCCAGUGCUGGGAAUUUGUUUUGCUGUUAUGCAUACAAUUACUCAACAAGGAAUUAGACAACCAAUUCUGUUUUAUUCAAAUUAUUUCACAGCUGUAUCUAACAUGUCAGAAAUAACAAUUAUUUUUUUUUUGUUCUUCUGUUAAGGUGGUACGGUGGAGAGAAAAGAUGUUCGCGAAGAUGGCCAAUUCGAGAUCUAAGAAGAAACGGAGUUCCCAUUGUUUAAAGGCUUAGAGACUCGGCAAAUGGUAUUGCUGACUCAUGGUGAUAGCGUCGAUAAGGUUGCAGAAGGGUUUCGUUGCGUCGCACUAUCUUCGCGUCGUAUUAUUUCCGCCAUUGCUGAUGCUGAAAGCCCUAUUAAAGGAGUCCAGUUCCAUCCUGAAGUUGAUUUGACUGAAAACGGACGAAAAAUGUUGCAUAACUUCUUGUUCGACAUCUGUGGAUUGCAAAGGAGGUUUCACAUUGGAGAAACGCGAGCAGAAGUUUUUGAUCACGUCUGGCCUAAGGUCGGACGUGAUAAAAUCGUGCUCAUGCUGGUAAGCGGCGAAGUCGAUUCCACAGUUGGUGCUGCCCUUCUCCAUAAAGCACUUCUGCAGGGUGACGACUUGUCGUGAGUGCACGCCAUCCAUACCGAUGACGGUUUCCUGGGUGAAGAUGAGUCCGAGCAGGUAGUUUACAGCAACUCGGGCGUAAUCUUCGGGUAAUUUGAGAUACGUUUCUGGACCGUUCAGACUCUUAUGAUUGGCCAAAAUGUGAUACGAGAUUGAUUGAUACGUCUUCCUGUCACAUUUCAAAUUCUACGGUUGUUAAAGCAAGUUUGAGUUUCUACGAUGCUUCCACCAACGUGCAUGGUUGCCAACUUUGUCGUUGUGUUGGGCUGCUAAUCUGGAAGAAAAACGUCGAAUUAUUGGCGAUACGUUUGUCAAAGUGGCAGAUAGAACGGCUAACGAUUUAAAUCUCACUUGGGAAAAUCUACUUUUCAGACAAGAUACUUUUAUGCCUGAUUUAAUUGAGACCUCUUCGUAUAUGCCUUCUUGGCACGCUGAUGCCACAAAGACUCGUCAUAAUGAUUCCGAAAUGGUUCGUCAAUUGUGCAUUCACUGUCGUGUAAUGGAACCUCCAGAAGACUUCUAUAAAGAUGAAGUAAGAGCCUUAGGUUGCGAGCUGGGUCCUCCUGCAGAAAAACUGGAACGUCACCCGUUUCCUGGUUCCGGUUUGUCAAUUCAAAUCAUUUACGCCGAAGAACCUUUCUUGGAAGCUGAUUUCGAUGAGACCAAGUGCUGAUUCGUUUGAUGGUUUAUUAUGCCAACAUGGUCCAACGCAGCCAAGGAACAAUUGCGACGUCGGAAGAAGAGCGUCUUUUUCUGGAAGAACUGUCCAGUCACAACCAGUAUGUUAGCACGCUACUGCCUAUUCGCACUGUCGGUGUUCAGGUACAGGAGGUUGCAGAAAAAUGUGGUGGGUAUGGCAAGCAAAGCAUAGGGAAAACCGCCACAUUUUUCUGUAAUAUACUGUACAAUAGAUUCGCAAUUUAGACGUUUUCGUAAUAAUGCCGCGAUCGUAAUCAUCUCUUAUUCAAGGGAGACGAUAGGUGCCACCGUGUCUACGCCAAGGGUACUUGUGAUCAUGGCCAAUGGCCAAUGGCUUGAGCCGGAUACCAACGACUAUGGCUCUUGCCGCCCUUCGCCUUCCCCAGAAAGCAAAUGCGUCGGUCGCUACAUCUAUUGGAAGGCAACACCAAAUUCUGAAGGUGGCUGUUAUAAAUCGUUCACACGUGGGCCUUGCAAGCGAAGUACCUAUUUCCUCGUUGAAGAAUAGGGCACUCGAGGAGGUAGAUGUGUUUCUCAAUUACGAUCAUUCUAUGAAUCAUGUCUUUACGCCACGCUAUCCCAUGAUGAGAAACCCUUGCAACGUGAUGUACUCCAACAACACGAUGAGCCCAUAGUCGAAAUUUGGCACCUAUCUGCCGUUUGGCAUGCAGGAAGAAUAGCGGAGACGACUAUGAUAAAACGAAAUCAAAGUGGGUUUAUCACAACCACUUUGAAUUUGAAUUACUCGUCAACUAUAAUUCGAAUCAAAAUGAACUUGAUUUUUAAUUUGUCA